CGGGAUUAGAAACCCCGGUAGUCCUAGCUGUAAACGAUGGAUGCUAGGUGUGAGCAGAACUAACCCUGCGCGUGCCGAAGCUAACGCGUUAAGCAUCCCGCCUGGGAACUACGAGCGCAAGCUUAAAACUCAAAGGAAUUGACGGGGACCCGCACAAGCAGCGGAGCGUGUGGUUUAAUUCGAUGCUACACGAAGAACCUUACCCAGGUUUGACAUACAGGUAGUAGUGGAGCGAAAGCGGAACGACCCGCAAGGGAGCCUGAACAGGUGUUGCGUGGCUGUCGUCAGCUCGUGUCGUGAGAUGUUGGUUUAAGUACCCUAACGAGCGCAACCCUCGUUGCCAGUUACAAGUGUCUGGCGAGACUGCCGGCCGCAAGCCGGAGGAAGGCGGGGAUGACGUCAAGUCAGCAUGGCCUUUAUAUCUGGGGCUACACACACGCUACAAUGGGUAGCAACAAUGGGUUGCCAAGCCGCGAGGUGGAGCCAAUCCCAUAAAACUGCCCUCAGUUCAGAUUGCAGGCUGCAACCCGCCUGCAUGAAGUCGGAGUUGCUAGUAAACGCGCGUCAGCUAUAGUGCGUUGAAUACGUUCCCGGGUCUUGUACACACCGCCCGUCACACUAUGGGAGCUGACAACACCUGAAGCCAGUAGCGUAACCGCAAGGAGCGCGCUGUCAAAGGUGGGGUUGGUGACUGGAGUGAAGUCGUAACAAGGUAACCGUA
This 721-nucleotide ribosomal RNA is filed under the name uncultured bacterium. RNAcentral's name for it is "bacterial SSU rRNA". It matches the Rfam family "Bacterial small subunit ribosomal RNA", at positions 773 to 1504 of the family's 1533-position model. The record is from RNAcentral.